CAUGCAAGUCGAGCGAACAGAUAAGGAGCUUGCUCCUUUGACGUUAGCGGCGGACGGGUGAGUAACACGUGGGUAACCUACCUAUAAGACUGGGAUAACUUCGGGAAACCGGAGCUAAUACCGGAUAACAUUUGGAACCGCAUGGUUCUAAAGUGAAAGAUGGUUUUGCUAUCACUUAUAGAUGGACCCGCGCCGUAUUAGCUAGUUGGUAAGGUAACGGCUUACCAAGGCGACGAUACGUAGCCGACCUGAGAGGGUGAUCGGCCACACUGGAACUGAGACACGGUCCAGACUCCUACGGGAGGCAGCAGUAGGGAAUCUUCCGCAAUGGGCGAAAGCCUGACGGAGCAACGCCGCGUGAGUGAUGAAGGGUUUCGGCUCGUAAAACUCUGUUAUUAGGGAAGAACAAACGUGUAAGUAACUGUGCACGUCUUGACGGUACCUAAUCAGAAAGCCACGGCUAACUACGUGCCAGCAGCCGCGGUAAUACGUAGGUGGCAAGCGUUAUCCGGAAUUAUUGGGCGUAAAGCGCGCGUAGGCGGUUUCUUAAGUCUGAUGUGAAAGCCCACGGCUCAACCGUGGAGGGUCAUUGGAAACUGGGAAACUUGAGUGCAGAAGAGGAAAGUGGAAUUCCAUGUGUAGCGGUGAAAUGCGCAGAGAUAUGGAGGAACACCAGUGGCGAAGGCGACUUUCUGGUCUGUAACUGACGCUGAUGUGCGAAAAGCGUGGGGAUCAAACAGGAUUAGAUACCCUGGUAGUCCACGCCGUAAACGAUGAGUGCUAAGUUGUUAGGGGGUUUCCGCCCCUUAGU
Molecule: ribosomal RNA, 811 nt
Filed under: Staphylococcus sp. UA-G092
Lineage: Bacteria; Bacillati; Bacillota; Bacilli; Caryophanales; Staphylococcaceae
Description: bacterial SSU rRNA
Rfam family: Bacterial small subunit ribosomal RNA
Source: RNAcentral